Molecule: long non-coding RNA, 100 nt
Organism: Octodon degus (degu)
Lineage: Eukaryota; Metazoa; Chordata; Mammalia; Rodentia; Octodontidae
Exons: 3
Source: RefSeq, a predicted model, not a curated record
AAACCCACAUGCAAUCAGACGUACCCUUCUUGGUCUUCCAGCUCCACUGGGUGCCAAGUGCAGUGCUUUGCUUCACAGCCUGUGCUUUACAACAUUUAUU